RNAcentral lists this long non-coding RNA (2962 nucleotides) under Lynx pardinus (Iberian lynx). The record is from RNAcentral. Lineage: Eukaryota; Metazoa; Chordata; Mammalia; Carnivora; Felidae.
AAACAGACUGAGGGACCCGUACAUCUGCAUGCCUUCAACAGGCCUGGGUUCUCACCAGCACUCACUCAACCUUGGAUCCAGAGAACCCUUGAUGUUUUCCAGUCCCAGAAUCCUCCGGGACAGGCUGCCCAGAUGGCUGUUGGGAGUGAGCUGGCGAUCUUAAGCAGAGGCAGCCUAGGUAAGUCCCAUCUCUAUGUGACAAUGAUAUCAUUUGGCCAUCUGAAAGGUAUACUCAGAACAACAGGUGUUUCUUUAGUAUGCCCAGGCUCAACAUUUUCCUAAAACCUGGAUUGGGGUGGGGGGGUGGGGCGCGAUUUCCUUUCCUUCUUUAAUGUAUUUCACAGAAUUGUAUCUCUUUCAUUUCAUCUCUAAAAACUUCAAAGAAACAAAAUUAGCAGUGUCUGGAAGUGUCUGACACAUAAGAGGUAAUCAGUAAGUACUGAAUGAGUGAAUGAAAACGUUAAGGCAAAGUGGAAUGUAGCCUGGUGAAGAGUGGUGUAGUUGAGCAAACCCGGAUUGCUGGAAACCAUAGGCUGGACCCUGUACUCCAGCUCUAAGGCCUCGGUUUCCCUGUCUGUAACACUGGCCUGGGGGAACUGGACUUGAAUUGCCCUCCCAGUUCUGACACUCUCUAAACCUCUGAAAAACUGCAUUACAGCUUUAUUGUGGAUUAGAUCUGACUGGUGUCCUACUGAGAGCAAGGCCUGCUGCUCUGGAGACCAUCCAUUGUUUUUAAGCACCAGAGGUUAUUUAAUAGCAACUCUCCCAAAAUAUUUUUCAUGUCCUUCAUGAAAGAAGGUUCUGGAAGGUAGCCAUCAUCAAAAUAGGAAAUAAAGCCAGGCUGGCGUUCCAUUGAUCAGAUAACGCAGACUCAAAGUUCCUGUCACCCCAUAUGGUGAUUCUGGGAGCUUGACCAGAUUUCAGAAGUUUUAUUCAGAGCAGUAAGAAAUCAUCUUUGUGGCUUGCGGGAUUUAGUACCUAUUUCCCUCCUUUCUGCAGCUCAGGGCCCUGGGUGCCAAGAUAGUCUCCAGCGACUCUUCUCCCCUCAGGGCCUCAGUCUAGAGUCUGAGGAGAGCUCCCCCCAUUGACACCAUCAGGACCUCCAGCACUGGCUUAAGUGGCUUCCCUGUCCACUGCAGCAUUUGAUUUCAAGCUACAUGUAAGUUUGCCAUUUCCUUCUACUCUUAGAAGUGUCCUAAAGCACCAGUCCGGUGGAAUUCAGACUCCUUCACUAGCUUUCUGACUCUGUUCACUGCCUUGAUGCACCAGGAGGAUAAGGAACACCCGAUCGAGUCUGAGAGAAGAGACCUGACUGGCUUCAGCUGGGGCAUCUCCCCAAGCCUCAGUUUCCUCAGAUGUGGGGUCAGAACUGGAUGCUGGCUGGUUGCCUGGUCUCUUCCAGCCUCGUGAUAUGCCCCACCUCCAAUUCCCCCAGGCCCAGAGGCAGAGCCGGCCCUUCCCAUGAGGGAGUCAUAGCUUGUAUGUUAUGUAACUUCCAUAAAGGCAGGGGCUCUUCUUUUUCUUUUCUUUUUAGUGUUUUUAGGUACUCUAGGAAGAGAGAAACAUUUUUAUGAUCCCAGUAACCAAACAACAUAAUGAAAAUCAUGGCAACCAUCAGCCUAAUAAAACCCAUGGCAAAAGCCUCCACAUUCUCAAACAAGACCCUGGGAAUUCAAAGCUCUCUGAAGCCGUAAGUGGCCAGGGCCUUGCUGAAGGCCUUGGGACGCAGGCUGAUGGUUGAUGAAAGGAUUUUAACGCGCCACUGAAAUUCUCUUUUCCAAAAUAACCACUUUGAAACCUGUUAAUUACAGACACACAACCAGCCCCAGCCCCCCAACAGGACCUGGGGCUUUCACCAGGGAGAGCCCAGCUCCAAGGCUGGCUGCUUCCAUGACGCUACACAUGCUUUGUAUUGGGUGAAUUAGCUUCAGGAAGAGAAUCCAAAUUAAUUAAAACCACAUGGCCACUCCCCUCACCCCCAGCCUCCUACCCCACCUCCCUCCCCUGGAGACAGAGUCCAGUUCAGUCUAAUUUGGUCCAGUGUUUUUGUUUCCUAAAAUCUGUCUUGGGCUCUGGGCCAUUAAUAGGUUGCAGCUGAUUUUAAUCUACAUGAAUCAGAGACCUUGCUUCUUUGGUUUUAAGGAGAUUACAAAUUGUGUGUCCCACAAACUGGAUGGAGGGGAAAGGCCCUGGGGAGGGCGGGGGAAGGGGACAGAUCCUGGAAGUCACAAAAACUCUGCUCUCCAUUAAGUGGGUGGGUUUGCAUGAGCCUGUGAUCUCUCAGAGCUGGAGGAGGGGAGUGAAGUAAGAGGUGAGGGCUUUGCGGCUGUGACCCCAUGGUGGGAACACAGAACCUGGGCCUGUGUAAACAGAAUUAGAAUCAAGGAUCUGGAUGAGCACAGAGGUCUCUACUCACCUAUCGACAACACACCAAUUUCCCAAGUUUAUCCUGAGCACCUAUCCCGAGCUAGAAUAGGGGUUGGCAAACCAUGGCCCAUGGGCCAAAUUUUGUAAAUAAAAGUUUUAUUGCAACUCAGUCAUGUCCAUUCGUUUAUAUAUGGUCUAUGACUGCUUUAGUAGUUGUGACAGAGACCCUAUGGCCCACAAAGCUGACAAUAUAUACUCUGUGUCCCUUGCUGCAAAGGUUUGCUGACCCCUCUGCUGGAGAAGUACUGGGAGGUGUACUUUCAUGACAACAAAGGACAGACUUAGGAUCUGUUCCCACAUCCCACAUCUGAGGUCUAGUUCCUUCUAAACAUAGCUCUUCAGGAAAGUGGCUCUAUGUCAUUUAAACAAUGGCCGUGAAGAACAAUACGAACAAUCAUGCCACUCAGUUAAGUGUCCAAAGUAUUUGUCCUGACAAUUCUGUACUUCCAUUUCACAGGUGAAAAAACAGAGUCAUUGAGAGAAAGCAACUCACUGAAGGUCACGUGGGAAACAGCACAGAUAGGAAGAACCAGGC